This is a long non-coding RNA of Gordionus sp. m RMFG-2023, 300 nucleotides long. RefSeq lists it as uncharacterized. Lineage: Eukaryota; Metazoa; Nematomorpha; Gordioida; Chordodea; Parachordodidae. The transcript has 3 exons. The record is from RefSeq and is a predicted model, not a curated record.
UACAUGGCGGGCAUUUGGAUCCGUUGUUGCUCUAUACUUAUUAUUUUAUCUGCAUUAGACUCAACCUAUAUACACAAUCAUGAAUUACCAUACAUGGAAAAUUUGUCGAAUACGAUAAAUGUCCAUAAUAUAGCCCCACCCAUAGACAUAGAGCCCAUGAUGGAAAUAGCAAUUUUUGUAGACUACCCGAUGAUGGCUAUAAGAAAAUUAAGAGGUCUUGAUGUGGAAGAUGGGAUCAAAAUAUAUGUGGAUACGUUAAUCAAGGGUAUAAAUGCCUUAUAUCAUCAAAUGACGAUGGAG